This 579-nucleotide unclassified non-coding RNA is filed under the name Hevea brasiliensis (rubber tree). The record is from RNAcentral. Lineage: Eukaryota; Viridiplantae; Streptophyta; Magnoliopsida; Malpighiales; Euphorbiaceae.
GAAGAAAGUUAAUGAAUCCGCUGGAACAAGUGACAAAAACUUCAGUUUUGCGAACAGUUCGGAGGAUACUAUUGAUCUGUAUUCGUGGAAAUACCCUCCUGUUAACAGUCCGGUUACUUAUCAGCAUGAUGGUGGAGCUACCAUUGACCUCUCCAGUUUGGUGCACUCUGGGAAGUCUAAGUUCAAUUCUUCUGAAGUCUUUGAUAGUGGUAAGGCUCAUGCAAAAUGUGAGGAAGAUGUCAGUUUUUCAGGUGAAAAGAGAACUUCUUGGCCCGGAAGUACUAGCAAAGACACUGUAGAGCCAAAGCACGACAUUGGUCGAAAUGUUGAUCUCAAGGAGGUUGAUCAGCAAAUUAAGCUAAGUGGGACAUGCUCCAAAGAUGUAAUAAUUAAUCAUCCUUGGUCUAAAAGUGAUGAAUUUACACACCUUUCUUCUGAGUCUUGGAGAGACUGCACAGUUAAAACUGUUUUCCCGUUUCCCAAAGGAGAUGUCUCGACAAGUUAUGAUCAUGACAUUGGUAGUACUGACAGGAAAGAAGGAAAACGAAAAACAGAGGUGAGUGAUGUUAGGGCAGCAAU